This 425-nucleotide ribosomal RNA is filed under the name uncultured bacterium. RNAcentral describes it as "partial 16S ribosomal RNA". It matches the Rfam family "Bacterial small subunit ribosomal RNA", at positions 354 to 796 of the family's 1533-position model. The record is from RNAcentral.
GUGGGGAAUCUUGCGCAAUGGGCGAAAGCCUGACGCAGCCAUGCCGCGUGAAUGAUGAAGGUCUUAGGAUUGUAAAAUUCUUUCACCGGGGACGAUAAUGACGGUACCCGGAGAAGAAGCUCCGGCUAACUUCGUGCCUGCAGCCGCGGUAAUACGAAGGGGGCUAGCGUUGCUCGGAAUUACUGGGCGUAAAGGGCGCGUAGGCGGACAGCUUAGUCAGAGGUGAAAGCCCAGGGCUCAACUUUGGAAUUACCUUUGAUACUGGCUGUCUUGAGUUUGGGAGAGGUGAGUGGAACUCCGAGUGUAGAGGUGAAAUUCGUAGAUAUUCGGAAGAACACCAGUGGCGAAGGCGACUCACUGGCCCAAUACUGACGCUGAGGCGCGAAAGCGUGGGGAGCAAACAGGAUUAGAUACCCGAGUAGUCC